Molecule: ribosomal RNA, 2907 nt
Filed under: Salmonella enterica
Lineage: Bacteria; Pseudomonadati; Pseudomonadota; Gammaproteobacteria; Enterobacterales; Enterobacteriaceae
Description: 23S ribosomal RNA
Rfam family: Bacterial large subunit ribosomal RNA
Source: RNAcentral
GGUUAAGCGACUAAGCGUACACGGUGGAUGCCCUGGCAGUCAGAGGCGAUGAAGGGCGUGCUAAUCUGCGAUAAGCGCCGGUAAGGUGAUAUGAACCGUUAUAACCGGCGAUACCCGAAUGGGGAAACCCAGUGUGACUCGUCACACUAUCAUUAACUGAAUCCAUAGGUUAAUGAGGCGAACCGGGGGAACUGAAACAUCUAAGUACCCCGAGGAAAAGAAAUCAACCGAGAUUCCCCCAGUAGCGGCGAGCGAACGGGGAGGAGCCCAGAGCCUGAAUCAGCAUGUGUGUUAGUGGAAGCGUCUGGAAAGGCGCGCGAUACAGGGUGACAGCCCCGUACACAAAAGCGCAUGUGCUGUGAGCUCGAUGAGUAGGGCGGGACACGUGGUAUCCUGUCUGAAUAUGGGGGGACCAUCCUCCAAGGCUAAAUACUCCUGACUGACCGAUAGUGAACCAGUACCGUGAGGGAAAGGCGAAAAGAACCCCGGCGAGGGGAGUGAAAAAGAACCUGAAACCGUGUACGUACAAGCAGUGGGAGCACAGGUUUACCUGUGUGACUGCGUACCUUUUGUAUAAUGGGUCAGCGACUUAUAUUCUGUAGCAAGGUUAACCGAAUAGGGGAGCCGCAGGGAAACCGAGUCUUAAUUGGGCGUUAAGUUGCAGGGUAUAGACCCGAAACCCGGUGAUCUAGCCAUGGGCAGGUUGAAGGUUGGGUAACACUAACUGGAGGACCGAACCGACUAAUGUUGAAAAAUUAGCGGAUGACCUGUGGCUGGGGGUGAAAGGCCAAUCAAACCGGGAGAUAGCUGGUUCUCCCCGAAAGCUAUUUAGGUAGCGCCUCGUGAAUUCAUCUCCGGGGGUAGAGCACUGUUUCGGCUAGGGGGCCAUCCCGGCUUACCAACCCGAUGCAAACUGCGAAUACCGGAGAAUGUUAUCACGGGAGACACACGGCGGGUGCUAACGUCCGUCGUGAAGAGGGAAACAACCCAGACCGCCAGCUAAGGUCCCAAAGUCAUGGUUAAGUGGGAAACGAUGUGGGAAGGCCCAGACAGCCAGGAUGUUGGCUUAGAAGCAGCCAUCAUUUAAAGAAAGCGUAAUAGCUCACUGGUCGAGUCGGCCUGCGCGGAAGAUGUAACGGGGCUAAACCAUGCACCGAAGCUGCGGCAGCGACACUAUGUGUUGUUGGGUAGGGGAGCGUUCUGUAAGCCUGCGAAGGUGGCCUGUGAGGGUUGCUGGAGGUAUCAGAAGUGCGAAUGCUGACAUAAGUAACGAUAAAGCGGGUGAAAAGCCCGCUCGCCGGAAGACCAAGGGUUCCUGUCCAACGUUAAUCGGGGCAGGGUGAGUCGACCCCUAAGGCGAGGCCGAAAGGCGUAGUCGAUGGGAAACGGGUUAAUAUUCCCGUACUUGGUGUUACUGCGAAGGGGGGACGGAGAAGGCUAUGUUGGCCGGGCGACGGUUGUCCCGGUUUAAGCGUGUAGGUGUGUGUUCCAGGUAAAUCCGGUUCACUUUAACACUGAGGCGUGAUGACGAGGCACUACGGUGCUGAAGCAACAAAUGCCCUGCUUCCAGGAAAAGCCUCUAAGCAUCAGGUAACAUCAAAUCGUACCCCAAACCGACACAGGUGGUCAGGUAGAGAAUACCAAGGCGCUUGAGAGAACUCGGGUGAAGGAACUAGGCAAAAUGGUGCCGUAACUUCGGGAGAAGGCACGCUGACACGUAGGUGAAGUGAUUUACUCAUGGAGCUGAAGUCAGUCGAAGAUACCAGCUGGCUGCAACUGUUUAUUAAAAACACAGCACUGUGCAAACACGAAAGUGGACGUAUACGGUGUGACGCCUGCCCGGUGCCGGAAGGUUAAUUGAUGGGGUCAGCGCAAGCGAAGCUCCUGAUCGAAGCCCCGGUAAACGGCGGCCGUAACUAUAACGGUCCUAAGGUAGCGAAAUUCCUUGUCGGGUAAGUUCCGACCUGCACGAAUGGCGUAAUGAUGGCCAGGCUGUCUCCACCCGAGACUCAGUGAAAUUGAACUCGCUGUGAAGAUGCAGUGUACCCGCGGCAAGACGGAAAGACCCCGUGAACCUUUACUAUAGCUUGACACUGAACAUUGAGCCUUGAUGUGUAGGAUAGGUGGGAGGCUUUGAAGUGUGGACGCCAGUCUGCAUGGAGCCGACCUUGAAAUACCACCCUUUAAUGUUUGAUGUUCUAACGUGGACCCGUAAUCCGGGUUGCGGACAGUGUCUGGUGGGUAGUUUGACUGGGGCGGUCUCCUCCUAAAGAGUAACGGAGGAGCACGAAGGUUGGCUAAUCCUGGUCGGACAUCAGGAGGUUAGUGCAAUGGCAUAAGCCAGCUUGACUGCGAGCGUGACGGCGCGAGCAGGUGCGAAAGCAGGUCAUAGUGAUCCGGUGGUUCUGAAUGGAAGGGCCAUCGCUCAACGGAUAAAAGGUACUCCGGGGAUAACAGGCUGAUACCGCCCAAGAGUUCAUAUCGACGGCGGUGUUUGGCACCUCGAUGUCGGCUCAUCACAUCCUGGGGCUGAAGUAGGUCCCAAGGGUAUGGCUGUUCGCCAUUUAAAGUGGUACGCGAGCUGGGUUUAGAACGUCGUGAGACAGUUCGGUCCCUAUCUGCCGUGGGCGCUGGAGAACUGAGGGGGGCUGCUCCUAGUACGAGAGGACCGGAGUGGACGCAUCACUGGUGUUCGGGUUGUCAUGCCAAUGGCACUGCCCGGUAGCUAAAUGCGGAAGAGAUAAGUGCUGAAAGCAUCUAAGCACGAAACUUGCCCCGAGAUGAGUUCUCCCUGAGACUUAGAGUCUCCUGAAGGAACGUUGAAGACGACGACGUUGAUAGGCCGGGUGUGUAAGCGCAGCGAUGCGUUGAGCUAACCGGUACUAAUGAACCGUGAGGCUUAACCUU